This 253-nucleotide ribosomal RNA is filed under the name uncultured bacterium. RNAcentral's name for it is "partial 16S ribosomal RNA". It matches the Rfam family "Bacterial small subunit ribosomal RNA", at positions 80 to 334 of the family's 1533-position model. The record is from RNAcentral.
UUUCUUUGCUGGCGACCGGCGCACGGGUGAGUAACACGUAUCCAACCUGCCCUUUACUCGGGGAUAGCCUUUCGAAAGAAAGAUUAAUACCCGAUAGCAUAAUGAUUCCGCAUGGCUUCAUUAUUAAAGGAUUCCGGUAAAGGAUGGGGAUGCGUUCCAUUAGGUUGUUGGUGAGGUAACGGCCCACCAAGCCUUCGAUGAAUAGGGGUUCUGAGAGGAAGGUCCCCCACAUUGGAACUGAGACACGGUCCAA